GAUGAAGAACGUAGCGAAAUGCGAUAAGUAAUGUGAAUUGCAGAAUUCAGUGAAUCAUCGAAUCUUUGAACGCACAUUGCGCCCAUUAGUAUUCUAGUGGGCAUGCCUGUUUGAGCGUCAUUAAGUCCACUUAAGCCCAGCUUAGUGUUGGGAGACUGCUCCAGCGGUGCUACCCUGUAGCUACCCUGCAGCUCCUCAAAGACAGCGGCGGAGUUGUGGUAUCCUCUGAGCUUAGUAACUUGUUCUAGCUUUCGAGUACACCACUUCCCCUGCCGUAAAAACCCUUAAUUUUUAAUGGUUGACCUCGGAUCAGGUAGGAAUACCCGCUGAACUUAAGCAUAUCAAUAAGCGGAGGA
This 356-nucleotide unclassified non-coding RNA is filed under the name soil metagenome. Its description in RNAcentral is "partial contains 5.8S ribosomal RNA, internal transcribed spacer 2, and large subunit ribosomal RNA". The stretch from base 1 to 120 matches the Rfam family "5.8S ribosomal RNA", at positions 35 to 154 of the family's 154-position model. The record is from RNAcentral.